Molecule: non-coding RNA, 163 nt
Organism: Haemonchus contortus (barber pole worm)
Lineage: Eukaryota; Metazoa; Nematoda; Chromadorea; Rhabditida; Trichostrongylidae
Source: Rfam
AAACUUACCUGGCUGGGAGGUUCUCGCGAUCAACAAGGCGGGACCUCCAUGGAGAGGCCUGCGCAUUGCACUUUAGCCCAGGCUGACCUGUGUGGCAGCUCCGAAUUGGGGUUCGCCAACAGCUAAAUUUUUGUGUGAGGGGCUGCGUUCGCGCGGACCUGCU